GGAAAAGAAAACACCCUGACAGAACCACGUAAGCCGCCCGUCAUUUACUCAUCACCACACAGCCCCGGCUAGAUCACCCGUGACGUUCAUCUCCACCCUGCCUGCACACGUCUUCUUUAUCUCUCUUGUGCACUUUCAGGUGCUUUGGAUGGAUGACCUCAGAGCAUACCUCCAGCUCUCCAGGCUCCCUGCUCUCACUACAGAUCACAGUGUCAUCUGCAAAUAUUAUAGUCCACUCCUGCCUGACCUCGCCUGUCAACCUGUCCAACACCACCGCAAACAAGAAGGGACUCUGAGCCGACCCGUGGUGUAAUCCUAACCCCACUUUGAACUUACCGCACACCUCACAACUGACUCACUGUCCUCGAACAUGUCCUGCACCACACUCACAUACUUCUGCGCCACUCAUGACUUCCUCAUGCAGUACCACGGUUCCUCUCUUGACACCCUCUCAUACACUUUAUCUAGCUCUGCAAAGACACAGUCCAGCUCCUUCUGACCUUCUCCACAC
Long non-coding RNA from Neolamprologus brichardi, 511 nucleotides. RefSeq lists it as uncharacterized. The record is from RefSeq and is a predicted model, not a curated record. Lineage: Eukaryota; Metazoa; Chordata; Actinopteri; Cichliformes; Cichlidae.